GGGAGACGAGGUGGUGCAUGGUUGUCGUCAGCUCGUGUCGUGAGAUGUUGGGUUAAGUCCCGCAACGAGCGCAACCCUACGUUAGUUGCUAACAGGUGAAGCUGAGCACUCUAGACGAACUGCCGUUGACAAAACGGAGGAAGGUGGGGAUGACGUCAAAUCAUCAUGCCCCUUAUGUUCUGGGCUACACACGUGCUACAAUGGCCGGUACAGACGGAGGCGAAGCCGCGAGGCGGAGCAAAUCCGAAAAAGCCGGUCUCAGUUCGGAUUGUAGGCUGCAACUCGCCUACAUGAAGUCGGAAUCGCUAGUAAUCGCGGAUCAGCACGCCGCGGUGAAUACGUUCCCGGGCCUU
RNAcentral lists this ribosomal RNA (353 nucleotides) under uncultured Pelotomaculum sp. Its description in RNAcentral is "bacterial SSU rRNA". It matches the Rfam family "Bacterial small subunit ribosomal RNA", at positions 1028 to 1382 of the family's 1533-position model. The record is from RNAcentral. Lineage: Bacteria; Bacillati; Bacillota; Clostridia; Eubacteriales; Desulfotomaculaceae.